UUACCUUGUGGGGUUGGAGAGCUGGCUGGUCCAGCCCCUCAGAGCUCUCCCCUCCCCGCAG
RNAcentral lists this microRNA precursor (61 nucleotides) under Nomascus leucogenys (northern white-cheeked gibbon). RNAcentral describes it as "miRNA (ENSNLEG00000027222.1)". Lineage: Eukaryota; Metazoa; Chordata; Mammalia; Primates; Hylobatidae. The record is from RNAcentral.